UACUCUUCUCAGCCUUUUGGCUAAGAUCAUGUGUAGUAUCUGUUCUUAUCAGUUUAAUAAAAAGGAAACGCUGACAAAAACCAUAGGAUAGGAGGGGUACAACUCCAC
Molecule: small nuclear RNA, 108 nt
Filed under: Erinaceus europaeus (western European hedgehog)
Lineage: Eukaryota; Metazoa; Chordata; Mammalia; Eulipotyphla; Erinaceidae
Description: U2 spliceosomal RNA
Rfam family: U2 spliceosomal RNA
About the family: U2 is a small nuclear RNA (snRNA) component of the spliceosome (involved in pre-mRNA splicing). Complementary binding between U2 snRNA (in an area lying towards the 5' end but 3' to hairpin I) and the branchpoint sequence (BPS) of the intron results the bulging out of an unpaired adenosine, on the BPS, which initiates a nucleophilic attack at the intronic 5' splice site, thus starting the first of two transesterification reactions that mediate splicing.
Source: Rfam by way of RNAcentral